AGUGGCGGACGGGUGAGUAACGCGUGAGAAUCUGCCUUGGGGUCGGGGACAACCACUGGAAACGGUGGCUAAUACCGGAUAAGCCGAUUGGUGAAAGAUUUAUUGCCCGAAGAGGAGCUCGCGUCUGAUUAGCUAGUUGGUGAGGUAAGAGCUCACCAAGGCAGCGAUCAGUAGCUGGUCUGAGAGGACGAUCAGCCACACUGGGACUGAGACACGGCCCAGACUCCUACGGGAGGCAGCAGUGGGGAAUUUUCCGCAAUGGGCGAAAGCCUGACGGAGCAAGACCGCGUGAGGGAGGAAGGCUCUUGGGUUGUAAACCUCUUUUCUCAGGGAAGAAGCUCUGACGGUACCUGAGGAAUCAGCCUCGGCUAACUCCGUGCCAGCAGCCGCGGUAAUACGGAGGAGGCAAGCGUUAUCCGGAAUUAUUGGGCGUAAAGCGUCCGCAGGUGGCGAUUCAAGUCUGCUGUCAAAGCACGGGGCUUAACUCCGUAAAGGCAGUGGAAACUGAAUAGCUAGAGUGCCGUAGGGGUAGAGGGAAUUCCCGGUGUAGCGGUGAAAUGCGUAGAGAUCGGGAAGAACAUCGGUGGCGAAAGCGCUCUACUGGACGGCCACUGACACUCAGGGACGAAAGCUAGGGGAGCGAAUGGGAUUAGAUACCCC
Molecule: ribosomal RNA, 660 nt
Filed under: uncultured bacterium
Lineage: Bacteria
Description: bacterial SSU rRNA
Rfam family: Bacterial small subunit ribosomal RNA
Source: RNAcentral